RNAcentral lists this long non-coding RNA (1210 nucleotides) under Phasianus colchicus (ring-necked pheasant). Its description in RNAcentral is "lncRNA (ENSPCLG00000017906.1)". The record is from RNAcentral. Lineage: Eukaryota; Metazoa; Chordata; Aves; Galliformes; Phasianidae.
AAUGCUUGCCUAGAUAAUGCUGAGUGCAAAAUAAAGAAAUACUACGUGUGCCCGUGGCACUGAUGAUCUCAGUUGGUGAAAUACAGGCACAGGGUGGCCCAGAUAAUAGUAUGACGAAUAGAACUACUUCACCGUCUGUUGAGCCCUCAGUCCUACUCAGAGCUGCUUUUUCUCUGUUAAAAGAUGUUUUGUCCUGUUAUGUUAAGUCAUCUUGACAUACUGCCAUGAAAUGGAAAUAACUGCUAGUUUUAACUUUGCUCCGUAUCAUUAUUAAAAGAGUCAUCAAUCUCAUGAGAGUCAUCUUGCCAUCUGUACCAGCGUUGCUCCAGGCUUCCAUAUGAAAGUCCAAUCUGGCGGUAUAAAUACUGGAUAAUGAAGAGUAGGUGUUAAAGUUUCUGACUGGAAGAAGAGUCUGUGUCUAGGAAGGAUCUGAAUUUGUGUGUUAAACAAACAGAAUCUAUGUUAACACGGAGUCCAACCAGAAAUAACAUGCGUGUUUGUCCUCCUGCCUUCUCUCACAAUCCAUGCCUGUUUCUAAAUUAUUUUCUUCAGCUUCUCUGUUUAGGAGAGAACACCCAAGAUCCAGGAGAAAAAUGUUCUCUGGCCAUCCUUUUACACUUUGGAGAUUACAAACAGGGGCAAGAUGUUGACUUCCUGUAACGUAGGGUUCUUUUUUCCCUCGCUCUCCUUUUGCUCCCAGAAAGCUAUAACUACAUAGAUUAGCAAAACUUUUGCAAGAAUGGAUGUAAAACAGAUUUAUCUCAGUGUCAGCUUUAUCUGAUCCAUUCGGUCUUGCAGAGUUUGGAUGGUUUCCUUUGUUACAAUAACCAGCUUUCAAACAUCUAUAUCCUUAGGGUAUUAAAUGUCAGCCUCUAGUGUACCGUUCAAGGAUAAAAGAUUGACAAUACUGAAGUACUCUUUUUCUUUUUCUUUUUUUUCCCUUUCCAGCACUAGCAGAGUCUUUACACUGCACACCACUGCUGACCCCAGAAAUGACCCACAGGAACUACUGGCGAAAGGAGCGAAAAGGUUGGCAUCAGAACUGAAGAAGAUCAGGGAUCAGCCAACCUCUUUAACUGUGGUGAGCAGAACUGAUGUGCCUUGGAUACAGCAAACAAAAACUGGAGGCCAGAAAGAUGCCAUUUCCUUUUUCCUCUCCUACUGACCUAGCCAUUAGGACUGCACUGCUCACUCAGGUAUUCUCAGCUGA